This 1173-nucleotide long non-coding RNA is filed under the name Apteryx haastii (Great spotted kiwi). RNAcentral describes it as "lncRNA (ENSAHAG00000019335.1)". The record is from RNAcentral. Lineage: Eukaryota; Metazoa; Chordata; Aves; Apterygiformes; Apterygidae.
AUGCCCGAAUCCCCUCCAAAUUGCUGCAAAACACCCCAAACUGGGAGCCGACCGGGGCCCCCCCCGCGUUCCCCUUCCGAAAGAAGGUCAGAAAGGAGGCGGUCAGGCGCGGGGGGGAAAUUAGGAAACCCUUUAUUUCAACCGAGAGUAUUACAAGAAACCCAGAAAGGCGGGAAAACACACGUCGGAAUUCUGCAGGCGUCGAGCAAGCGGGUCGCGGCCCCGCACGAGCCUCCUACCGAACAGGAACGAAAAUAUAUUAACUCUGAACACCCCCGCGCUGGGCUACGGGAGACGUCGACAUUCAGCGGAAAGCGGGUUAACGCGGCCGUUCCCGGCUUUCGGCACCCGGAGAGAGCGGCUGCGGGGCGAUCCGGCGCCUCCUUCCCAAAAAUUUUGGGGAAAAAGCCGAGACGGGCUCUGAGCUCGGUGAAUAAAAACACAAAUGGCUCCCCGCUUCCAAAAAACCUCCGUUUAAAGCCGUGCAUCUCCCGGAAAAGCAGCGGUUUUAUCACCUUUACGAGGCGGGAAGCUCCCGGGAAUGCUGAUUGCAGGGAAGAGCCGGAGAUUUUUUUUCCUCCCCCCACCCCGUUCAGGGCACGGCCACACGUUUCUUUGGUAAAAUGGCCCAAUUCGCCGCUGGCUUGCGGGAGAUGCCGGCGGGAAGCACGGCCUCGGCCAGCGCUGGGCAGGGCCGGACCCGCUGCCCCGAAAUUCGGGAGCUCCCACGUUACCGACAGCCCGGCGGCAGCAGGAAGGAGGGAGCAAAGGCAGCGCCGGCGAGAGCAGCUCGGCAGCAGCCGCCGGGGCCAAAGAGACCUAAGAGAAGCCAAAAAUCCAGGCACCGGGAAAGACUCGACUCCGGUGCAAAAGCGGCAAAACGUUGCGAGUCGCCAGUGCCGAUCGAUGCCGUUUCCGAGACCGAACGCUGCYGCCGGCUGCCCGCGGGCAUCGCCCCAAGGAGCCCGGCUCGGGGCCGAGCGGUUCGGUGCUCUAAAAAUCCUCGGUGCCUUGAAAGACGAUGCAGAAACCCGGAGCUCGAGCAAUUCCCGGCCCGCGGCGCGGAGGCAGCAGGGAUUUGGGGGCAGCUUCACCUAUUGCCGCAGCUCCGUUAAAGCCUCGCGCCGCCCUCCCUGCCCCGGGGAGGGGGAAAAGCAAAAAAAAAAAAGGUGA